RNAcentral lists this ribosomal RNA (173 nucleotides) under uncultured bacterium. RNAcentral describes it as "partial 16S rRNA". It matches the Rfam family "Bacterial small subunit ribosomal RNA", at positions 342 to 507 of the family's 1533-position model. The record is from RNAcentral.
CGGGAGGCAGCAGUGGGGAAUAUUGCACAAUGGGCGCAAGCCUGAUGCAGCCAUGCCGCGUGUAUGAAGAAGGCCUUCGGGUUGUAAAGUACUUUCAGCGGGGAGGAAGGUGUUGAGGUUAAUAACCUCAGCAAUUGACGUUACCCGCAGAAGAAGCACCGGCUAACUCCGUG